Molecule: long non-coding RNA, 483 nt
Filed under: Setaria italica (foxtail millet)
Lineage: Eukaryota; Viridiplantae; Streptophyta; Magnoliopsida; Poales; Poaceae
Description: long non-coding RNA (SITA_LNC004564)
Source: RNAcentral
UGUUACUCAUUCCGUGGGCAACUGUGUUAAGCGUGUCGUGGUCAUUGUCACCUCAGUGCUGUUCUUCAGGACUCCUGUUUCUCCUAUCAACUCCCUCGGUAACCUUGCUGCCUCCAUUUGCUUCUCUCUGCUUUUGACUGAUUGCCUUCCUCCAUCCUCAGUUAUCUCACCAUACCUGCUUUCCCUUGCGUGUGUAGGUACCGCGAUUGCACUUGCUGGAGUUUUCCUGUACUCACAACUGAAGAGACUGAAGCCCAAGCCAAAGACUGCUUGAAAGAGAUUGUAAUUACUGUAUCUCUUUCUCGUGUUUAGGGAGUCAAAUCAUGGCAGCACACCUUGAAAUUGUUGAUUUUAGUGUAUAAAUGUUUUUCUUUUGAAGCAAUACGAAUUCACUGUUAGGGUAAUUUGUGAUCUUACUUUUUUUGGAUCAAGACAUGUUUUGAAAUUUGUGUCUGCAGAAGAGCUGUAUCAUAUCUGUUCCCA